Molecule: ribosomal RNA, 301 nt
Filed under: uncultured bacterium
Lineage: Bacteria
Description: partial 16S ribosomal RNA
Rfam family: Bacterial small subunit ribosomal RNA
Source: RNAcentral
CAGUAGCCGCGGGAAUACGUAGGUGGCAAGCGUUGUCCGGAAUUAUUGGGCGUAAAGCGCGCGCAGGCGGAUCAGUUAGUCUGUCUUAAAAGUUCGGGGCUUAACCCCGUGAUGGGAUGGAAACUGCCAAUCUAGAGUAUCGGAGAGGAAAGUGGAAUUCCUAGUGUAGCGGUGAAAUGCGUAGAUAUUAGGAAGAACACCAGUGGCGAAGGCGACUUUCUGGACGAAAACUGACGCUGAGGCGCGAAAGCCAGGGGAGCGAACGGGAUUAGAUACCCGCGUAGUCCCUGUCUCUUAUACC